This 443-nucleotide long non-coding RNA is filed under the name Phoenix dactylifera (date palm). RNAcentral describes it as "long non-coding RNA (PDAC_LNC012154)". The record is from RNAcentral. Lineage: Eukaryota; Viridiplantae; Streptophyta; Magnoliopsida; Arecales; Arecaceae.
GUGAGAUUAUUGUAGUUUGACUGCACACAUACAUGGUCUCUAGUCAUAUGGGUCCAUGCAGUGUAGAUUGGCUGCAGUAAGUUCACUGUAGGAGUAGGGUAUGCACCUAUAAGAAAUCUAUCGACCUUGAUAGAAGAGGAGUGAUCCUAUGUGAUUUGUUAGACUGAGUUCUAAGACCUUGGCCAGGGCAGUAAUAUAAAGUGGAGAAAGAGUUUUUCACUAUCGAACUCAAGUCGAAUAAAUCUUGACAUAUGACAGACGAUGGGGUUUGACGAGUUGUCCAUGACCUCCGUUCUGUAGGGAUCCACGAUAGUAGGACUGUAUCACAUGAUAACUGCACCUAGAGGUUCAUCAUUCCAUUCUGCUGGAUAGCCACUACAUGCUGCUAGGUGUCACUGGUGGAUGGUGAGACUCACAGGGAUUAUCUCGAUGAUCGAUAAACC